GACGAACGCUGGCGGCGUGCUUAACACAUGCAAGUCGAACGGAAAGGCCCUGCUUUCGUGGGGUUCUCGAGUGGCGAACGGGGGAGUAACACGUGAGUAACCUGCCCUUGACUUUGGGAUAACUUCAGGAAACUGGGGCUAAUACCGGAUAGGAGCUCCUGCUGCAUGGUGGGGGUUGGAAAGUUUCGGCGGUUGGGGAUGGACGCGCGGCUUAUCAGCUUGUUGGUGGGGUAGUGGCUUACCAAGGAUUUGACGGGUAGCCGGCCUGAGAGGGUGACCGGCCACAUUGGGACUGAGAUACGGCCCAGACUCCUACGGGAGGCAGCAGUGGGGAAUAUUGCACAAUGGGCGGAAGCCUGAUGCAGAAACGCCGCGUGCGGGAUGACGGCCUUCGGGUUGUAAACCGCUUUCGCCUGUGACGAAGCGUGAGUGACGGUAAUGGGUAAAGAAGCACCGGCUAACUACGUG
This 468-nucleotide ribosomal RNA is filed under the name uncultured bacterium. RNAcentral describes it as "partial 16S ribosomal RNA". It matches the Rfam family "Bacterial small subunit ribosomal RNA", at positions 28 to 507 of the family's 1533-position model. The record is from RNAcentral.